Molecule: unclassified non-coding RNA, 164 nt
Filed under: uncultured Hypocreales
Lineage: Eukaryota; Fungi; Ascomycota; Sordariomycetes; Hypocreales
Description: sequence contains ITS2
Source: RNAcentral
CGACCCUCAAGCCCCCGGCUUGGUGUUGGGGGAGCGGCCGGCCCUCGCGCCGCCGCCCCCCAAAACGAAUCGGCGGUCUCGCCGCGGCCUCCUCUGCGCAGUACUGAAUAUCUCGCACCGGAGCGCGGCGCGGCCACGGCCGCAAAACGCCCAACUUUCUCAAG